CACGAUUUAGGCUAUAUAUUUCCACGCCAUUAAACUUAGGGGGGUAAAUAUUUUGGAUAAAAAUCCUAAUGUUGAAAAGAGAAGGAGCAAUUGUCAUUAGUGCAUUUGAAUUUUGACAUUUGACAGACGUAAACAAUAAAAUACAUUUAAGUAUUUAUAUUUCAUGCGGAUGAAGUCGCAUGGGAACAGCUAGUUGAUAAUAAUUGUAAUAUGGUCUGUCUUUAUAAAAUAGAUACUCUACUAUCUGGGAAAACGGGUUUCCCUAAAAUAUGACUGAUUAAAACAUGACCAUUUUAAGUAUUCUAGAUUGCUAAUAAAUAGUUUCGACAUCUCCAUAGGUCUGUAUUGAAAUAUCUCCCACCGACCUCUGGUAUAGAGUUUAUCGGUUAAGUUUUGUUGCAACGUUCAAUCUUGCAUAAUAUUUUCUCCAUUUUCAAUAUUGUGCAAUUGUUUUUAGCGACAACCAACGCUUGUUUUGACUAUAGUUUGUCUAAAUAAGAUAGAUUAGUUUGACAAUUCAUGUCACAAUUUAGUAGGGAUGGUGUAUCGUCACCGCGUUCUUUAUUUUAUUAUCCCAACCGACGUUCUUCGACCCUUUGUCACAAUCCAUCCUCCUUCGCUCUUUCUUCGUCUUUUGGAACGCUUUAGUUCGGAAUUCGAAGUUUGAGUGGAGCGUUGACACAUACGAAUGCGGGGCUUAGGGAGAAGGAAGUGUGAGAUAAGUAGUGAACUAACAGUGCAGCAAGACCAUUUAAUACGCGCAGCGCAGAACAACCAGCAACUAUGGCGCUGGGAGCGAGACACAAAAGAGACACCGUAACCGUCUGUGACCCUGAAGUAUGCGUCCGUCAUGGACAGUGCGAGUCAUUUGCCCCGGAUUGUUGCUGUGAAGUACCCGAAGACUACGUAAGUUGACCACAGAUGUUCAAAUAAGUUACAGAGCUGACAUUGAAAAAUUUUCUUUUCAAAUAAUUUGUUUUUAAUCAUUAAUAAAGUUGACGUUAUCUUUAAAGAUAAAUUAUUAUUAUUCAGAUAUUUUAGAAUUAAUUCUAAAUAUCAAAUCGAUAUCAAAAUUAAGUUAUUCACUAAUAAGUUAAUAAGUACAGCUUACGUACUUAAUGGUUAGGUCUAUAGGCGUCGCCAAGGCAGCUGUCUCCACCGUCAUAAUUAAGAAUUGAUAACAAAAGUUACGUAGCCAUAACUAGGAAUAAGUUAUCAUAAGUUCACAGUAAGCCAUUCAUUGUAAGAUAAGAGCCUAUAACAAUUUCAUUGUACUUAGAUAUCUUCGUGUGUAACAUUUCGUCCGUGUGUACAUAAUCAGUUCGUCCGCAGUGCUCCUUGUGAGUAGUUCUGUUAAAUAAUAAAGUAGCGAAUACGCUAGUUAAUCGAUAGGUUAUCGAUAAUGCGACAAGCGCGCCCUCUCGUGUGACGCGUAAAAACGCAGGGGCCAAUGAGGGAGCGCGGGCGCAUGACAUUUUAGAGACAAUAAGGCGUAGAUAGAACGUAAGUUUAACUGUGUAACAUAUAAAGUAAAUAGAUGUAACCAUUGACAGACUUUUAUUGAGAAUAAUCCCAUAAAGUCUUAUUUUUUUUCAAAUACUACUUCGAGCUCCCAACCUAACUCAGAUUAAAGGUAGUUUUUGAAGGCAGAUAGGCGGAUAUGUAUAAUUGACUGGCGGCAUCUUUAGUUAAUACAUGUAAUGCUAAGUUUUUUAUUUUUUUAUUACAGAGAGUAUCCCGUUCAAUGCCUGAUGCAGUCGCAACUCCCUGGAAAUCUUUGUUAAAUUAAAAUAAAACAAUAAACACAUUUUUUUCAAAUUUUAUUACAUUAAAAACUUUUACGGUAAACGGACAGCACAGUACCUGACAUUAACACUGAUUAACGAAAUUUCAAAUAAUAUAAAAUACGCAAUAAAUGAAAAAAAUAUAAAAUCUAAACUAAAAUAACAUUUUCUUGAUAAACGAGAACUAUUCGCGCUGUUACAUCCUUGGAUUGCAUCCUAUAGUGCAGACAUAAACCCUUUUCUUGCUUACCUAGCAUAUUCAUACUCCAUAUAUACCGCUUUCCGCUACCCGACCAGUUAGUCUCAUCCCAACACCCAAACAACCCAGACGGUUGUCUAAUUUAAUCUUAUAUUCCUUUUUUUUUUAAAAACCAUUUCAACCCGAGGCUCAUAACAGCGUCAUCGUGCCGAGUAGUUAAUCGCGCUGGCAGCGCCUUAAUACAUUAAUGCAACUCAAUAAUUGCACAGCUUGUCACUAGAUGGCGCUGUAGUACAGAUACAUGGCGAUAUCGAUGUACAUUGAUGGUUUCUUGACCUCCCAACCUUAUUUGUGCUUAGUAUGAAUCGCGGUGCUUUGCAACUGCUUCACAGUAGGGACUACGCUAGACACUCUUUGUGCUUCAACCAUUGCUUGAACAUACAAGGAUCCUCAGGGUAGCUUGUGUGUUUGUCUAGCUUCUCCUAUCCCAUAGAGUUGCCUGGAAGAGAUCGCUCUUAGCUAUAAGGCCGCUCUUGCGCAAACCUAGUUAAAGUUUUCUGUCGUAUUAUUUGUGCAAAGUGUUAAAUAAAUAAACU
Molecule: long non-coding RNA, 2579 nt
Organism: Papilio polytes (common Mormon)
Lineage: Eukaryota; Metazoa; Arthropoda; Insecta; Lepidoptera; Papilionidae
Exons: 3
Source: RefSeq, a predicted model, not a curated record